UACGUAGGGUGCAAGCGUUGUCCGGAAUUAUUGGGCGUAAAGAGCUCGUAGGCGGUCUGUCGCGUCUGCUGUGAAAUCUCAGGGCUUAACCCUGAGCUUGCAGUGGGUACGGGCAGACUAGAGUGCGGUAGGGGAGACUGGAAUUCCUGGUGUAGCGGUGAAAUGCGUAGAUAUCAGGAGGAAUACCGGUGGCGAAAGCGACUCUCUGGACGGCAACUGACGCUGAGGCACGAAAGCGUGGGGAGCAAACAGG
RNAcentral lists this ribosomal RNA (253 nucleotides) under uncultured bacterium. RNAcentral describes it as "partial 16S ribosomal RNA". It matches the Rfam family "Bacterial small subunit ribosomal RNA", at positions 524 to 776 of the family's 1533-position model. The record is from RNAcentral.